CACGCCGUAAACGAUGGAUGCUAGUCGUCGCGGGUAUUGACCCCUGCGGCAACGCAGUUAACGCAUUAAGCAUCCCGCCUGGGGAGUACGGCCGCAAGGCUAAAACUCAAAGGAAUUGACGGGGGCCCGCACAAGCGGUGGAGCAUGUGGUUCAAUUCGACGCAACGCGCAGAACCUUACCUGGGUUAAAUCCACCGGAAUCCUGCAGAGAUGUGGGAGUGCCCGCAAGGGAGCCGGUGAGAAGGUGC
Molecule: ribosomal RNA, 248 nt
Filed under: uncultured bacterium
Lineage: Bacteria
Description: partial 16S ribosomal RNA
Rfam family: Bacterial small subunit ribosomal RNA
Source: RNAcentral